GCCAUCCCCUGGCUGGGAGUUGCAGGCAGAGGAAUUCACACUAGGAGGGAGGUGCACCUGUCUGGCAGGGAGGGGAAUUAGCUGCUGGCACAACUCCCUGAGGGCUGCGGUGGAUUCUCCAUCCCGAGCUGUGCGUGAAGCUGGACGGGAGAUCCCCGACCCCAGAGCCGAGAUGGAGCUGGUCAGGAGGCUGCAGCACGUCAAGAAGCCAGUGCCCCUGAGCAGCAGCUCGGUGUCGGUGUUGCUCCGAGGCUUCGUGGCUGACGUGAGCUGCGAGCUGCUCUACAGGAACGAGGAGCCGGGGCCCGUGGAGGUCGUGUUCAAGUUCCCCGUGGACGCUGAGGCAGCUGUCUACGCCUUCCGGGCCUGUCUGGGUGGGGGCCUGCAUCCAGGCCCAGCUCCACGAGAAGAAACAGGUGCUUGGGGGCAGUGGUCCCGUGGGGGAGAGAAGAGAGGGCCGGGCUGGGGGGAUCUUGGGGUGACCCCGUCUCUCCCGGCAGGCGCAGGAGCAGUACAAGGAUGCACUGAGUGCGGGGCAGAGGGAUGUCAGGGGACGGGGGGAUCUCGGGCUGAUCCCGUCUCUCCCGGCAGGCAC
Molecule: non-coding RNA, 595 nt
Organism: Chrysemys picta bellii (western painted turtle)
Lineage: Eukaryota; Metazoa; Chordata; Testudines; Emydidae
Source: RefSeq, a predicted model, not a curated record